GACGAACGCUGGCGGCGUGCCUAAUACAUGCAAGUAGAACGCUGAAGGAGGAGCUUGCUUCUCUGGAUGAGUUGCGAGCGGGUGAGUAACGCGUAGGUAACCUGCCUGGUAGCGGGGGAUAACUAUUGGAAACGAUAGCUAAUACCGCAUAAUAGUAGAUGUUGCAUGACAUUUGCUUAAAAGGUGCAAUUGCAUCACUACCAGAUGGACCUGCGUUGUAUUAGCUAGUUGGUGAGGUAACGGCUCACCAAGGCGACGAUACAUAGCCGACCUGAGAGGGUGAUCGGCCACACUGGGACUGAGACACGGCCCAGACUCCUACGGGAGGCAGCAGUAGGGAAUCUUCGGCAAUGGACGGAAGUCUGACCGAGCAACGCCGCGUGAGUGAAGAAGGUUGUCGGAUCGUAAAGCUCUGUUGUAAGAGAAGAACGAGUGUGAGAGUGGAAAGUUCACACUGUGACGGUAUCUUACCAGAAAGGGACGGCUAACUACGUG
This 495-nucleotide ribosomal RNA is filed under the name uncultured bacterium. RNAcentral describes it as "partial 16S ribosomal RNA". It matches the Rfam family "Bacterial small subunit ribosomal RNA", at positions 28 to 507 of the family's 1533-position model. The record is from RNAcentral.